RNAcentral lists this ribosomal RNA (262 nucleotides) under uncultured bacterium. RNAcentral describes it as "partial 16S ribosomal RNA". It matches the Rfam family "Bacterial small subunit ribosomal RNA", at positions 512 to 773 of the family's 1533-position model. The record is from RNAcentral.
AAGCCGCGGUAAUACAGAGACUGCAAGCGUUAUUCGGAUUCACUGGGCGUAAAGGGUGCGCAGGCGGCCAAGUGUGUCAGGUGUGAAAUCCCGGGGCUUAACUCCGGAACUGCGCCUGAAACUAUUUGGCUAGAGCAUUGGAGAGGGAAGUGGAAUUCACGGUGUAGCAGUGAAAUGCGUAGAUAUCGUGAGGAACACCAGAGGCGAAGGCGACUUCCUGGACAAUUGCUGACGCUCAGGCACGAAAGCGUGGGGAGCCAAA